Molecule: long non-coding RNA, 494 nt
Filed under: Macaca fascicularis (crab-eating macaque)
Lineage: Eukaryota; Metazoa; Chordata; Mammalia; Primates; Cercopithecidae
Description: lncRNA (ENSMFAG00000049239.1)
Source: RNAcentral
ACCGAGGUGCGCAGCUUCAUGCAGGCCCAGCUGGGCGGUGGGCUCGUGCUGUUCUCACAGAGAGGUGGGUGCUGAUGGCCAGGCCCUGGGUUCCUGCUGCCUGCAGGGGUGCCCUGAGAUGGGGAGCCAGCUCGGGCCAGCCGGACCCAAUGACUCUGUCUUCAGGAGCCCUGGACGGAGGCAUCUACUUCGGCUUCUCUGAUGACAAGCACACUUCCUCCAGACACUUCUUCCGAGUGAUGGCCCAGAAGCAAGUGCUCCUCUCGCUGGAGGGCAGCCAGACGCUGACUGUCUGGCUGGACGGGGUCCGUCCAGCCACUCAGCAGCCAGAGCCUCAGAGCCAGCUCCAGCGCAGACACCAACUCCUAGCUUCUGCUCUAUGGUGUGGUCCCGGGCUCCCAUCCGGGCCGGCUGUUCCAUGCCCAGCAGGACAGCAUAGGGGAGGACAUGGUGAACUUCACUCAGGCAGAGGCAGAACAGGAGUUGUUCCAUAG